GAUGAACGCUGGCGGCGUGCCUAAUACAUGCAAGUCGAACGCUGAAGGAGGAGCUUGCUCUUCUGGAUGAGUUGCGCACGGGUGAGUAACGCGUAUGUAACCUGCCUGUUAGCGGGGGAUAACUAUUGGAAACGAUAGCUAAUACCGCAUGACAACAGUUAUUGCAUGAUAAUUGUUUAAAAGGGGCAACUGCUCCACUACCAGAUGGACCUGCGUUGGAUUAUCUAGUUGUUGAGGUAACGGCUCAACAAGGCGACGAUACAUAGCCGACCUGGGAGGGGGGUCGGCCACACUGGGACUGAGACACGGCCCAGACUCCUACGGGGGGCAGCAGUAGGGAAUCUUCGGGAAUGGACGGAAGGCUGAACGGGCAACGCCGCGGGAGUGAAGAAGGGUUUCGGAUCGUAAAGCUCUGUUGUAAGGGAAGAACGAGAGGUAGAGUGGAAAGUUCACACUGUGACGGUAUCUAACCAGAAAGGGACGGCUAACUACGUG
This 495-nucleotide ribosomal RNA is filed under the name uncultured bacterium. RNAcentral describes it as "partial 16S ribosomal RNA". It matches the Rfam family "Bacterial small subunit ribosomal RNA", at positions 28 to 507 of the family's 1533-position model. The record is from RNAcentral.